UGGGGGAUAUUGCACAAUGGGCGAAAGCCUGAUGCAGCGACGCCGCGUGGGGGAUGAAGGCUUUCGGGUUGUAAACCUCUUUCGCUAUCGAACAAGGCCCGCUUAGGGUGGGGUGAGGGUAGGGGGAGAAGAAGCGCCGGCUAACUACGUGCCAGCAGCCGCGGUAAUACGUAGGGCGCGAGCGUUGUCCGGAAUUAUUGGGCGUAAAGGGCUUGUAGGCGGCUUGUUGCGCCUGCUGUGAAAACGCGGGGCUUAACUUCGCGCGUGCAGUGGGUACGGGCGGGCUUGAGUGUGGUAGGGGUGACUGGAAUUCCAGGUGUAGCGGUGGAAUGCGCAGAUAUCUGGAGGAACACCGAUGGCGAAGGCAGGUCACUGGGCCAUUACUGACGCUGAGGAGCGAAAGCAUGGGUAGCGAACAGG
This 420-nucleotide ribosomal RNA is filed under the name bacterium. Its description in RNAcentral is "partial 16S ribosomal RNA". It matches the Rfam family "Bacterial small subunit ribosomal RNA", at positions 355 to 776 of the family's 1533-position model. The record is from RNAcentral.